GACGAACGCUGGCGGCGUGCUUAACACAUGCAAGUCGAACGGAAAGGCCCUGCUUUUGUGGGGUGCUCGAGUGGCGAACGGGUGAGUAACACGUGAGUAACCUGCCCUUGACUUUGGGAUAACUUCAGGAAACUGGGGCUAAUACCGGAUAGGAGCUCCUGCUGCAUGGUGGGGGUUGGAAAGUUUCGGUGGUUGGGGAUGGACUCGCGGCUUAUCAGCUUGUUGGUGGGGUAGUGGCUUACCAAGGCUUUGACGGGUAGCCGGCCUGAGAGGGUGACCGGCCACAAUGGGACUGGGAUACGGCCCAGACUCCUACGGGAGGCAGCAGGGGGGAAUAUUGCACAAUGGGCGGAAGCCUGAUGCAGCAACGCCGCGUGCGGGAUGACGGCCUUCGGGUUGUAAACCGCUUUCGCCUGUGACGAAGCGUGAGUGACGGUAAUGGGUAAAGAAGCACCGGCUAACUACGUG
This 468-nucleotide ribosomal RNA is filed under the name uncultured bacterium. Its description in RNAcentral is "partial 16S ribosomal RNA". It matches the Rfam family "Bacterial small subunit ribosomal RNA", at positions 28 to 507 of the family's 1533-position model. The record is from RNAcentral.